UGUGAGUUGCGAACGGGUGAGUAACGCGUAGGUAACCUGCCUAUUAGAGGGGGAUAACUAUUGGAAACGAUAGCUAAUACCGCAUAACAGUAUGUAACACAUGUUAGAUGCUUGAAAGAUGCAAUUGCAUCGCUAGUAGAUGGACCUGCGUUGUAUUAGCUAGUAGGUAGGGUAAAGGCCUACCUAGGCAACGAUACAUAGCCGACCUGAGAGGGUGAUCGGCCACACUGGGACUGAGACACGGCCCAGACUCCUACGGGAGGCAGCAGUAGGGAAUCUUCGGCAAUGGGGGGAACCCUGACCGAGCAACGCCGCGUGAGUGAAGAAGGUUUUCGGAUCGUAAAGCUCUGUUGUUAAGGAAGAACGAGUGUGA
This 373-nucleotide ribosomal RNA is filed under the name Streptococcus anginosus. RNAcentral's name for it is "bacterial SSU rRNA". It matches the Rfam family "Bacterial small subunit ribosomal RNA", at positions 90 to 458 of the family's 1533-position model. Lineage: Bacteria; Bacillati; Bacillota; Bacilli; Lactobacillales; Streptococcaceae. The record is from RNAcentral.